Molecule: ribosomal RNA, 447 nt
Filed under: uncultured bacterium
Lineage: Bacteria
Description: SSU rRNA
Rfam family: Bacterial small subunit ribosomal RNA
Source: RNAcentral
AGAGCGAACGCUGGCGGCAGGCCUAACACAUGCAAGUCGAGCGCCCGUAGCAAUACGGGAGCGGCAGACGGGAGAGUAACACGUGGGAACGCGCCCUUCGGUUCGGAAUAACUCAGGGAAACUUGAGCUAAUACCGGAUACGCCCUUACGGGGAAAGAUUUAUUGCCGAAGGAACGGCCCGCGUCCGAUUAGCUAGUUGGUGAGGUAAUGGCUCACCAAGGCGACGAUCGGUAGCUGGUCUGAGAGGAUGACCAGCCUCACUGGGACUGGGACACGGCCCAGACUCCUACGGGAGGCAGCAGUGGGGAAUAUUGGACAAUGGGCGCAAGCCUGAUCCAGCCAUGCCGCGUGAGUGAUGAAGGCCUUAGGGUUGUAAAGCUCUUUUAGCAGGGAAGAUAAUGACGGUACCUGCAGAAAAGCCCCGGCUAACUUCGUGCCAGCAGCCGC